UAGUUACAUUUCCGUAAGCAUAUAUAAAUGCCACAGCUCACACGACACAAGAAGAGCUUGAUCGGAGACAUAACAUCUUUGCAUCUACAAACAGUGGAGGGGAAGUGGACAGAAACCCAGUUGAGUUUGCAGUUGUUCCACAGUUAAAUAGAUAGAUUUCCAUUUUCUAGAUUAACAGUCAAAAUCUUAGAACAAAACAUCAAUUUACCUCAUCAGUGCUGGAAGUCUGAACCCCGGGGUUCAGGGGACAUGCAUCUAAAAGAGGAAGGAAUGAGCUGAUGUUUGUCAGUCCACCUGCAGCUGUGACUAGGAUUCUCUAUUAGAGAACAUUGUACAUCCCCAAAGAUGCAUUCACCCUGAUGAUCUUCUGACCCUCAUCCUUGGCACAUUUACUUCAAGAUGCCAAUGGAUCAGGAUUCCAUCA
Paramormyrops kingsleyae is the source of this 424-nucleotide long non-coding RNA. RefSeq lists it as uncharacterized. NCBI's taxonomy places the organism in Eukaryota, Metazoa, Chordata, Actinopteri, Osteoglossiformes, Mormyridae. The record is from RefSeq and is a predicted model, not a curated record.